GAGAAUAUUUAGCAAUGGACGAAAGUCUGACUAUGCGACGCCGCGUGAGGGAUGAAGGUUUUCGGAUCGUAAACCUCUUUCGAUGGGGAAGAAAUUUCUCGUGGUAACACGGGAGCUGACGGUACCCAGAGAAGAAGCCACGGCUAACUCCGUGCCAGCAGCCGCGGUAAUACGGAGGAUGCGAGCGUUAUCCGGAUUCAUUGGGUUUAAAGGGUGCGUAGGCGGACUAUUAAGUCAGUGGUGAAAUCCUGCAGCUUAACUGCAGAACUGCCAUUGAUACUGAUAGCCUUGAGUUUGGUUAAGGGAGGCGGAAUGUGUAAUGUAGCGGUGAAAUGCUUAGAUAUUACACAGAACACCAAUUGCGUAGGCAGCUUACUGAGCCAACACUGACGCUGAGGCACGAAAGCGUGGGGAUCGAACA
Molecule: ribosomal RNA, 421 nt
Filed under: uncultured prokaryote
Description: bacterial SSU rRNA
Rfam family: Bacterial small subunit ribosomal RNA
Source: RNAcentral